CCAAAAACAUCGCCUCUUGUGAAAUAAAAAUAAGAGGUCCCACCUGCCCUGUGACAUAUGUUUAACGGCCGCGGUAUUUUGACCGUGCAAAGGUAGCGCAAUCACUUGUCUUUUAAAUGAAGACCUGUAUGAAUGGUAUAACGAAGGCUUAGCUGUCUCCUUUCCCCGGUCAAUGAAAUUGAUCUCCCCGUGCAGAAGCGGGGAUAAAAACAUAAGACGAGAAGACCCUAUGGAGCUUAAGACAAAACAGUAGUCCAUAUAAAGUAACUUCAAAUAAAAGGUUAUAUUUUUUGCCCCCUGCUUGAAUGUCUUUGGUUGGGGCGACCGCGGGGAAAUAAAUAACCCCCAUGUGGAUUGAGAGAACCUCUCCCAAAACCAAGAGUCACCACUCUAAGUAACAGAACCUCUGACCAAAAUGAUCCGGUAAACACCGAUCAACGAACCGAGUUACCCUAGGGAUAACAGCGCAAUCCCCUUCCAGAGCCCAUAUCGACAAGGGGGUUUACGACCUCGAUGUUGGAUCAGGACAUCCUAAUGGUGCAGCCGCUAUUAAGGGUUCGUUUGUUCAACGAUUAAAGUCCUACGUGAUCUGAGUUCAGACCG
This 603-nucleotide ribosomal RNA is filed under the name Cetostoma regani (pink flabby whalefish). Its description in RNAcentral is "partial 16S rRNA". It matches the Rfam family "Bacterial large subunit ribosomal RNA", at positions 1807 to 2618 of the family's 2925-position model. The record is from RNAcentral. Lineage: Eukaryota; Metazoa; Chordata; Actinopteri; Beryciformes; Cetomimidae.